This 12916-nucleotide long non-coding RNA is filed under the name Homo sapiens (human). RNAcentral's name for it is "non-protein coding lnc-MALT1-7:4". Lineage: Eukaryota; Metazoa; Chordata; Mammalia; Primates; Hominidae. The record is from RNAcentral.
AACCUGAGAGAUGGCCUGGAGGCAGGGUGGCAUGUUGUUUUUAAAGUGAUACAAGAGACACAGUGGAGACCGUCCAAUGAGUGGCAUGGCUGCCAGGAUGCCAACUGGGACACUAAAGCCCUGGCAGUGGGGGCUGCCCAGCAGGGCUGGCCACUAGAAAUAAGGUCUGUGAGGGUUGAGGGCCGAGAGGCUGGAGGGGCUCAUGGGUGACCAGUGCUGCUGUUUGCCACUUGUUCUAAACCAGCAGACCAUGGCUAAGAACACUGCCAUACAGGAAGCCGCCCUUCCUCUAGGGCAGAAUCACACAUGAUGGUGGGGGAGGCGUGUCAUUAGACAUCGUCCAAACCCACAGAAUGGGCACCACCGAGAGGGAACCCUCAUGUAAAUCAUGGGCUUUGGGUGAUGGUGAUGUGUCAAUGUAGGUUUACCGAUUGUGACAAAUGCAGUCUCUGAUGCCGUGUAGAUAGUAGGGGAGGCUGUGCAUUUGUGGGAGCAGGACAUAUAUGGGAAAUCUCUGUACUUCCUGCUCAAUUUCUCUGUGAACCUAAAAGUGCUCUAAAAAAGUCUAUUAAAGAGAAAAAGAAUUAUAUAUAAGAAUUACGUAUAAACUAUAGUGUGUGUGUAUAUAUAUACACAUAUAUAUACGUGUGUGUGUGUGUGUGUGUAUAUAUAUAUAUUUAUAUUUUGUCAUUGGAUUGUAUUUAUAGUUUGUCAUUGGAUCAGCUGUAAAAGAGGAAAGAAAACCAACAUUGAGGCCCAGGGCAAUAGCUUUUAAAAAAUUACAAUAGAGCUGAGUACAUGCAGUCCCAGCUACUGGGGAGGCUGAGGUGGGAGGAUUCCUUGAGCUCAGGAGCUUCCAGGCUGCAGUGAGCUAUGAUCACACCACUGCACUGCAGCCUGGAUGACAAAACGAGAUCCCGUCUCUAAAAUAUAUAAAAAUAAUCACAAUGACAACAGAAAUCACUUAGAGCUGGACUAUCCAACCUGGGAGCUUUGAGCCACAUGUGGUUAGUGAGGCUUGAAAUAUGCCUAGUUUGAAGGAGGAACUGAAUUUUUAAUUUUAAUUAAUGUGCAUGUAAAUUUAAAAGCUGAUAUAUGUGAUAUUGUUAGGGAGAAAUUUUAAUAGGUUUGGAACAAUUUGGAUAUGUGAAUCUACCCUUCCAAAUUAAUUUCAUGAACUCUAAAUACAGAUCAAGUAUUUCCAAAGAAUAAUUAGCAUCCAAAUUGAGAUAUGCUAUGAAUGGAAAAUAUACACCAGAGUUUGGAGACUUAAUACCAAAAAAAUGUAAAAUAUCUCAUUAACAAUUUUUAUAUUUACAUAUUGAAAUAUUUGGUUAUACUGAGUUAGUAAAAUAUAUUAUUAAAGUUCACUUCACCUGUAUCUUUGUACUUUUUAAAAAUUUGGCUUCCAAAAAAAGUAAAAGACGUAAGUGUCUUACCAUCAUACACUGCUGGUAGGAAUGUAAAAUGGCAUAGCUGCUUUGAAAACCAGUGUGAUGAUUCCUCAAAAGGUUACACAUCGAGUUACCCAGCAAUUCCACUCUUAGGUACUUACCCAAGAUAAUUUGAAAACAUAUGCCCACAAAAUGAUCUCGCACAUAAAUGUUCAUAGCAGCAUUACUCGUAAUGGCCACACAGUGGAAACCACCCAAAUGUCCAUUAACUGAUACAUGACUAAAACCAAACCUGGUGUGCCCAUAAAAUGGAAUAUUAUCUGGCCAUAAAAAGGAGUAUUGAUAGAUUCUCCCACAUGGGUGACCCUUGGAAACAUUACACUAAAUGAAAGAAGCCAGACACACAAAAGCCAUCUACUGUAUGAUUACGUUUAUACAAAAUGUCCAGAACAGGCAAAUCUAUUCAAGACAGAAAGUAUAGUAGGAUUUGCCAGGGGCUGGGGGAAGAAGGGGAGAGGAAGUGACUGUUAAUAAGUAUGGGUUUCUUUCAGGUAUAAUGAAAGUGUUCUGAAAUUAAAUAGUGGUAAUGGUUGGUUGCACAAUUUGUGAUUGUACUUACAAAAAAUUACAUACUUGGCUUGCAUUAAAUUUCUAUUGGACAGCACUAAUUUUAAUGAGAUAACUAUUUUCUUUCCCAACUGUGAUUAGUGAUGGUAUAUAAUCUAGCCAAAGCUAAUCAACGUGGGGUGAUUUUUGCCCCCAUCCCCACCCCAUGGGACCUGUGGCAGUGUCUGGAGACAUUUUUGAUAGCCACAACUGGGGUUGGGGUGAGGGGAAGAGAUCGCUACUGGCCGGGGAUGCUGCUAAACAUCCUACAACCCACAGGCAGCUGCCCGGAACAAAGAAUUAUCUGGCCCACAAUAUUGUAGUGUGGAGGUUGAGAAACCCUGCACUAAAGGCUGCUCAGAGGAUCCCUGCCCCAGCUACAACAUCCUUUGCCCCAGCUACAACAUCCUUUGCUCCAUCUCUGCUGCUUUGACUUCCCAGGGGUCUGAUUCAGGGUGUGGCCUUCUCAGAAGACUUUCUCCUGGAGUCCACCCCAUCACAGUCCUCAGGCCAGGAACUCCUAGUGAUUCUGUGGACUUGGAAACUUCCUAAGAAGAAUCCUGAAAGGGCCCGGGGAUUCUAUAGUUGAUUGGCUAUGGAGUCUCUGACUCAGGCCUGACCUUCUGAGGCUUCUUGAGUCCCCAAGUGUGAUACUCUCCACAAAGCUGGCUUCAUGCCAGGUAGAUUGCCAUUUUUCUUGUUGUUUUCUCUUCCACGUCAGAUUUUCUAAGCCAAAGACAACUGGAAUUUGCACAGUCUGCGUGAGGAAUGGGCUGCUUCUCUGACACCUGAAGUAAAAACCCAACCAGGGAUAUCCAGACUUGCCUUCAAGCAUGUUAUUUUGAAAUUACCUACUCUGUCUGUUUCUGAUAACUGCUGUAACAAAUGACCACAAAUUUAGUGGCUCAGAACAACAUAGAUUUAUUACUUUACAGUUCGGGAGGUCAGAAGUCCAACAUGAAUCUCACUGGGCUACAAUUAAGGUGUCAGGAGGGCCAUGUCCUUCUGGAGGCUACAGAGGAGUGACGUGGUUUGGCUGUGUCCCCACCCAAAUCUCAUCUUGAAUUGUAACUCCCACAAUUCCCACAUGUCAUGGGAGGGACCCAGUGGGAGGUGACUGAAUUAUGGGGGCAGUUCUUUCCCGCACCGUUCUCAUGAUAGUGAAUGAGUCUCACAAGAUCUGAUGGUUUUGAAAACAGGAGUUUCCCUGCAGAAGCACUCCCUUUGCCUGCUGCCAUCCAUGUAAGACAUAACUUGCUCCUCCUUGCCUUCUCCCAUGAUUGUGAGGCCUGCUCAGCCAUGUGGAACUAUGUAUCCAUUAAACCUCUUUUCUUCCCAUUCUUGGGUAUGUCUUUAUCAGCAGCAUGAAAACUAAUACAGGGAGAGAAUCCCCUCUGUCCAGCUUCUGCAGUUGGCCUGCAUCCCUUGGCACAUGGUCCUUUCUCGACCUUCAAAGCCAGCACAGUAGCAUCUUCAAAUCCUUCUCUGACCGAUGCUCCUGUCUCCCUCUUCCACUUAUAAGGACCCUUGAGACCAAGUGGGACCACCUGGGUCAAAGAUAAUUUCCCCAUGUCAGGGUUGAUAACCUCAAUCACAUCUGCAAAGUCCCUUUUGCCAUAAUUCACUUCAGUAACAUAUUCACAGGUUCUGAGAAUCAGGAUGUGGAUGUCUUUGGAGGGAAUUAUUCUGCAUACCAUACUGUUACGUGGGCAUGGGCAGUCUACUUCAGGGGGGCAGGGUCACUUAGGCACACUCUGCUGCCUUUGUUCCAUAGGGAAAAGAAAUAGGGUAUUUUUGUUUUUCCAGAGUUGGAGAAUUUGCCCAAUCUGAGUUCUCAGGUAGUUAGAUGCUGACUUUCCAGAUCUAAUUCUCAGCAGGCCUAUGCCCCAGAAUGGCCAGUGAGAGAUUUACUUUUCCAUUUUUAUAUCUUUGAAUAGCUUCAAGUGAAUUACUGUGAUUGAGAUUUUUUUUAUUAUUUGGGAUUACAAUGCUUCUGAAGUUGUCACACUUGCUGAGUUUAAAUCCCCUCUAACAGGUAAACCUAUCAGAUUACAUGACAGUGUUCAACUUAACAUUUAUUGAGAUCUGUCAGAUACCGUAUGUGCCCAAGAAAGCUCAGCAGUGACCCACAAGGAAUAUAAAAUCUAGCAGGGGAGAUAAAGAAGUAUACUGCCAAUCUAACCCCAGUGUGAUGUGCAGCAAAGGCUCUAAAGUCAGUAAAAUAGCUUUAGGACUCUACUGGGGAGGGUGUGAGGAAGGGCUGGAUGGUUAUGCGAGGAUGCUGAAAUAUUGAAAGGGUGAUGAAAUAAGCCACAUUGGAACACUGGGCCUUCAGGAAUGGGCCAGAAUCCUUUAAGGUCAAAUCUAAAAAGGGGUUGUCCUCAGUGUCCUGGAGGACAGGAAAACAAACCUUAAUGGUAGGCAUUAGGAAAUUGUCUUAAAGAUCCCGCCCCCAAAAGCAGACCCUGAGACAAGAAAGUGGAUGCAGUUAGUUUAUUCAGGAGAUGAUCCCAGAAAACAUGGGGAGAAAGGGGGAAUAUAAGAUGGAAGCAAAAACCACCAGGAAAUGGGAAUGAAUGAAUGACUGUGGGCUGCUGUGGACAACAGGGGCCUGAUCACUGGGGAUCCUCUAAAGAAUCGUGUGAUGAAUGUCUUAGACUCACUCCACAGGAAGCUACGGAGUCUGGGACACUGUCUACCAACUCCCACCCCCAUUGGUGGAGGACUUUCCUGACUUCCAGAUCCACUUUCUGGUGUGGCCAAGCAACCUCCCAGCUCAUGAAGUUCUCAGGCUGUGGGAGCUGUCAGGUGGUGGAAACUUCACCUGCAGCUGCAGGGAACCUAGGUGGACUGAGUAGCUAUGGGGCAGGGCAUUAUCAGCACCUGCCUUGGGAGUAAUUGAGUACUUUCAACAAUCUGGAUGCUGGGGCCAAUCCAUGGGGUUCUUUCCCCUGAGUUAUUCUGACUACACUCAGUCAGCAUUCAGUGAUCAUCCUCACCUUCACCCGCUUCAAUUUGUGCUGUGUUGAUCUGAUUUUCUUAUGGAGCUUGAGUUCCAGUUUUGUCACUUACAGAUAGAGGUGCCCUGGGCAUGUUAAUUAACCUCUUUGAGCGUUAUGGGCCAGCUCACAGUUUUGUUACAUGGACUACCAGAAAUGCCAAAUGUUGGACAUUAAUAUAGUACUUGGAACACACAAAUAUUCAAUAAACAGUUAUGAUUUUGUGGAUGAUGGCAACACUUCUGUUUCUCUCUACCAUCAGUGCAGACUUUUGACCUAUAGAAGUUGAGAUGAUGAUCUAAAAAUUUACCUCCAAGAUGGUUUCAUUUUCAGUCUUUUUAACUAUAGAACUGACUGAUGUAAUUUGUGACAUACUGCUUAUUUUUGGUAAGUAACAAUUCCAUUUCAGAAAAAUGCCUUACUGAAGUGUCAGUUGGUGUCGUGCCAUAAGCACAAUAUCAGCAUCAUUCAAAAGAACCUAGAGCCUCCCAGUGAAUAGGCUAACCUCUGGUAUAAAUUAGGUACACAUGGAAGCUAUUUUUGACUACAGGGAUGCCCUUUAGUGGUUCACUACAUUUAUGUACCAAAUGGCUCCCAAAUUACCUGGAGCUGUGGAUGUAAUUUCUGAGGGUGAAUUUAUGUCUCAGCUCAGGCUGCUAUCACAAAGGGCCGUAUAUUGGGUGGCUUAAAUAAGAGACAUUUAUUUCUUCUAGUUAUGGAAGCUGGGAAGUCCAAGACAAGGUGCUGCUGAUUGAGUUCUUGGUGAGGGUUCUCUUCCUGACUUGCAGGUGGCUGCCUUCUCGUUGUGUCCUCAGAUGGCAGAAAGAAGAGAGGAAGCAAGCUCUCUGGUGUCUCUCCUUACAAGGGUUCUAAUCUGGUCAUGGGGCCCCAGCCUCAUGACCUCAUCUAAACCCGAUUACUUCCCACAGACUCCACCUGCUAAUAGUAUCACAUUGGAGGUUAGGACUUGGACAUAUAAAUUUUUAGGGGUUACAAACAUUAGCCCAUAGCACCUUAGGAUUACAGAGUGAUGCUCCCCCUGGGGGAAUUUGGCAGCUCAUAUAAUACAGUCUUACCAUAUAUGGUCCUAGAAAUAUAAGAAAGGAAAUGAUAUCCAUAUCUAUUGGCUCAAUUUUUUUUACAACACUCAUUUUUAGAGCCCUUGGACUUUUGAGGGGCUCCUAUCUAGCAUCUAACUUUCAAUAUCUGCUCAUGAUCACACUAUUCCCUCAGUGAUCAAAGAAAAACAUUCUCUUGCUGGCUUUUCGUCUCUUAAAGGAUUUUUAAAAGCUGUAGUAUUAUAAUAUGCAUCCUAUUUUUCCAGUAAAACAGAGUGGAGCUCAUGUUGUGAAACAGCUAGAAAGGGGGAACAGAGACAUUUUGUUUUUAAAACCAUGAAAUGUAUUGUCAGUUACCUUAGGUAAGAGUGAAAGAAGUGACUUUGAGACUGACUCAUUUAGGCUAGAAUUGGUGUGAGGUAUAAGGGCAUUAAGCUGAGAAAAUGACCAGGACUGUAGCUUUGGUUCUGCCAAUAAACAAAUGGUGUGACCACAGGCAAAGAGAUUACUCUUUCUCUCAUGAACCUGUAAGUUUCUCAAGGGAAGAAACAACAUAUAUAUUGCUUUGUAAAUUGUUUCCAAGCAUUUAAAAAAUAUCUUUAAAUAUUUUCAAGGCAUGAUUUUUAAUGCCUGCAUAGUCCAAAGAAUAUUGUACCAUAAUAUAUUUUACCAUUCCUCCAUUGUUAGAUUGUUCUCAGUGUUUCAUUAUUGUGAACCAUGCUACAAUGAAAAGACUCUUGUCCCGAUGGCUCUAUUUAUACUUCUGAUAAUUUUAUUAGGCUAAUUACAGGGCCAAAAUUUACAUGUUAAAGGAUUAGUAAAUAUCACCAAUUUGACAUCCAGAAGGGUUGUACUAAUUUGCACUCUUGCCAGCAGUGUAAGAGAAAAAUCUGUUUCCAUACAGUCUUAUUAGCAUGAAGUAUCAUCACAUUAAGAACAAUCUCUGAAAAUUGAGAAAGGAAGGAAAGGAGGAAGGCAGAAAGGAAUGGAGUUGAUAAGUUUAUGAUGAAUUUCAUGAAUUGCGUAUUUGAUGUCUUUGUUCUUUUUUUUUUUUUUUUGAGAUGGAGUUUCGCUCUUGUCGCCCAGGCUGGAGUGCAGUGGUGCGAUCUCAGCUCGCUGCAGCCUCUGCCUCCCUGGUUCAAGCGAUUCUCCUGCCUCAGCCUCCCACAUAGCUGGGAUUACAGACAUGCGCUACCACACCCAGCUAAUUUUGUAUUUUUAGUAGAGAUGGGGUUUCUCCAUGUUGGUCAGGCUGGUCUCCAACUCCCGACCUCAGGUGAUUCGCCCACCUCGGCCUCUCAAAGUGCUGGGAUUACAGGCAUGACCCACCACACCUGGCCCUGUUCAUUUUUUAUUAAGCUAUUCAUCUUUUCUUACAUCACUUUCUUUGUACAUCACAAGUGCUUUUCUAAGUUUUUAUUUGUUUUUAAUAUCAGUUUAUGGUGGGGGUUUUUGUGCAAAAUUCUUACAUCAUCAGGUUUUUUUUUUUUCCUUUUUGCUUAGACAGACUUUCCUUACCAUGAAAGCCACAGUCUCUUCCACUUUGUUUGAUAUUUAUUUUGGCAGCUGAUGUAAAAUUAGGGAUUCACAGGACCUCACUGCCUCGGAAAUUAACAGAUCUUCAUGUUUGACCCCUUCAGUUUACACUGAGGAAAGAGGCCCAAAGAGAGGAAAGGAAAUUACCCAAGGAUAUACAGUUGGUUAAUGGCAGAACCAGAACUAAAAUCUAGCUCCCAGUUUAUGUCUUCCUUUUUUAAAAAAAAUUUUUUUAAAAGUUUUCAAUAUUAUCAGUAAAAAUAAUUUCCUUAAACAUUUAAAAACAUUAAUCACCCCUCCAAAUGUUAGGUUCCUUGCUUCCCUCUCCAGAGUUAAUCCUAUCAUUUGAAUGUAUUCUUCCAGAUCUAAAAAAUAAUUUUAUGUGUUUAUAUAUGUAUAUACAAAUAACAUAUACUACUAUGGAAUGGUUGGGGGGCAUAAAUUGUAUCGUAUUGUAUGUAUUAUUCUUCAGUGUACCUUUCUAAUUCUAUGUUGUUUUGAAGCAUCCAUCAUUUGAGCAGGCCACAUUUUAUUUAGCCAGUUACCCAUGAACAUUUCCUUAGAAACGUUUCCUUAGAAAUAAUUCUACAACACACAUGAUGUCACAUGCUUCCUUGGGCCUUCAUGCAAGCUUCUCUCAAGAGUCGAUAUUGAGAAGUGAAACUGCUGCAUCAUGGCUAAUGCCCUUUUCAGUUUUAAGAGAUUUUAAGAGAUUUUUAAAGAGAUUUUGCCAAAUUAAUCUUACUGGCAAUGUACCCAUUUCCUUAUAAUAUCAGCUUGGUACUGUACUUUUAAUUUUUUUAUCUAUCUGAUGAAAGAUGUUAUAUCUUUAAAAUUUGUAUUUUCCUAAUUACUCAUAAGGUUGAGCAACUUCUUGCAUAUUUAUUGACCAUUUAUCUCUUCCAUAAACUUUGUAUAUAUUUACCUUUUAAAAAUAAUUCAAUUGUUACGGAUGUUUUAUCUAUUUGAUUUUUAUAUACCCUGGAAAUUAAUCUUUGUCUAUUACAAUGUCCUACAUAAAAAGUGUAUCACUUUAAUUUUCUUAGUGGUAUUUUUGUUCUAUAGAAAAAUUUUAAUUUGAUGUAAUCAAAAUUAUUGAUAUUUCUCUUUUUUGUUCCUUCCUUCCUUCCUUCCUUCCUUCCUUCCUUCCUUCCUUUCUUUCUUUCUUUCUUCCUUUCUUCCUUUCUUUCUCUUUUUUGAGAUGGAGUCUUGCUCUGUCACCCAGGCUGGAGUGCAGUGGUGCAACCUCUGCCUCCCGGAUUCAAGCAAUUCUUCUGCCUCAGCCUCCCGAGUAGCUGGGACUACAGGCGUGCACCACCACGCCCCGGCUAAUUUUUGUAUUUUUAGUAGAGAUGGGAUUUCACCAUAUUGGCCAGGCUGGUCUAGGACUCCUGACCUCAUGAUCCACCUGCCUCGGGCUCCCAAAGUGCUGGGAUUAUAGGCGUGAGCCACUGCACCAGGCCUAUUAUUUUCCCAAGAAGAUCUUAUAUCUCUCAAGAUCAUGAAAAUCAUUUUGAAAAAUUUUUUCAGUACUUUAUAGUUUUUUAAAAAUUUUAACUCAGAGAUCAAAUAACAUCAGUUUAUUGGGGGUCCAUUGUAAGGUACUGAUAUCUUUUCCAUAUGGUGGCUAAUUGUGUCAGCAUUGAAGCACUUGUCUCUUCCCUACAAGUUGAAAGACUAUUUCUAUCCAUAAACCAAAUUCCAGUAUUGGAUUCUGUACUCUUUCCUCAGUUUGGUUUAUCUACUUAUGUACGGCAACUCCCACACUAUCUCAUGACCACAGCUUUAUCAUUUGUCUUGAUAUAUGAUUGGGUUAGUUCAAUGCUUUUUCCAUCUCCUUUCAGAGAUGCAAAUUCAUCUUCUAUCAUAGCCAAAGAAGACCAACAAAGACCAACAGAGGCCAUGUCUCGCAUUCAGCUCCAACAGCAGGCAGUAGAUUUGUUACAGAGACUAAAACCCACCUUAUUGCCAAGUGACCCUCCUCUCACCAGCCUCCCCUGCUGCCACCCAAAUUCCUGCCACUGAACUACUCCUCAAAAUAAAACACAGCUGUAAAAUGCACACCUGUUUUGGAUUAGUUACAAUAAAUCAGGAUCUGUACUUAUUUCAGUUCCCCAGACAGGUGAAGAACAAGCUGCGUUUAUAGCAAGCCAACUAGAAAGCAGAAGAAAAUUCCAGUCACGAGUUUUUGUUUUUCCUCUUAGGGCAAAGGAGGUUACACUUGAGGAGCCUAAAUUUCUUGUUGUUUCCAAACUCCUGUGAGUCUUUACAGAAAUGCCUCUAAAAGUUGUAGUAUUCUCUCUCUAGAUCCAUCUAACUGAGCCCAUGGUUUCCAAACUUUAAUGCCCAAGAGAAUCCUCAGACCGCAUAUUAAAAAUGCAGGUUCAGGCCUGCAUUUAUUUCUCAGACAGCAUAUUAAAAAUGCAGGUUCAGGCCUGCAUUUAUUUCUCAGACAGCAUAUUAAAAAUGCAGGUUCAGGCCUGCAUAUUUUUUCACGGUGGCUCAUGUCUAUAAUCCCAGCACUUUGGGAGGCCGAAGCAGGCAGAUCACCUGAGGUCAGGAGUUCGAGACCAGUGUGGCCAACAUGACGAAACCCUGUCUCUACUUAAAAAAAAAAAAGGCCGGGCGUGAUGGCAGGCCCCUGAGGUCCCAACUACUCGGAAGGCUGAGACAAGAGAAUCGCUUGAACCUGGGAGGCGGAGGUUGCAGUGAGCCGAGAUUGCGCCACUGCAGUCCAGCCUGGGUGACAGAGCAAGACUCUGCCUCAAAAUUAAUAAAAAUGCAGGUUCAGCAAGUCUGUGGUAAAACUUAGGGACCUAUGUUGUUUUUUUAAACACGCACCUCAUCAGGUGAUUCCAAUGCAAAUAGUCCAGGCCCUCACUUUAAGACACUGCCCUGGGGACUCCAAGCAGAGUAGAACCACCUGAACACGAGACAUCCAAAUCCUUAGUGCAGGCUGUUUGCCAGGACAUGUUUCUGUAAUGAGUUAGCUCUGUGAGAUCGGUCUACAAGAGAAUGAUGUCAGUAUAACCAACACGUGGCAUUGGUUCAUACGCAGUUUUUCUUUGGCAAAGGGAACCAGAAUAGCUGGAAUAAAUUACAGAAAAUUGAGCAGGAAAACAAGCCUUUGACUCAGCCUCUGCAUUGGCAGCAGGGGCCCUAUUAAGUUGUAUUUUAACAGAAUUUCAAAUGCAGCCUGCCCUCAGUGGUCCUCUCUCCUAAGAAGCAAACUCCAAGCCCGUGUGUCUAAGGGCAGGUUGAGUGGCGCCCCCAGACCCACUUUAACAGCAGCUUUGCUGGCUCAGAGACCCACUUCUGUCUUUGAGGUCUCCGCACCCUCAAGCUGGCUCCAUCUGAAAGAUCUCCAGCAUCUCCACUCUGUUGUGUGUUUUUAAUAUCUGCCAUGGUGGCCUCCUGCCAGCCUGGGCCACCUCCCUGGGCAGUCCAAGUGAGUUUCCCGGGCACAUGUUUUGAUUUUAUUAGUUUCUGGUUUCAAAAUGGUCUGUUUCCUAAGUGACCUCUUGGGGAUGCUAAUUUUCCCCAAAGCCCUUACACUUUAAGGGUGUGAUUUUUCAGAAUGUGAGGUGUUUCUGGGAUGCAUAUAUGGCACUAGGACAGGAACGCCUUAUGUGUGAAGAAUACCCAUUGCCUCUGUUUGAAAAGUGCUAUUGAAUAACCUGAUGCUGUGUUCCUUGGCUAAGAUUGUGGGAAAUCACGGGCAAGGACUCCCGAAUCCCCAAGAAAGUACAUCACAAGCUGUAUAGCCUUUAGCUCUCUGCAGCCCUACUCAGGGGAGGUGGAACUUGGAACCCCCCAGGAUUUAGCUCCAUAUGGGCUCCAGGACUCUCAACCACAGCUGUGCCUCAGUUACCCAGGGUCAGCUGGAGCUUCCAUAAGGCACGCACGCCUGAGCUCUACCCUCGAUCUAUUGAAAUAAGGACCUCCGGGGUGGGGCUUGUAUGUCUGUAUACAGUUAGCCUCUGUAUCCGUGGGUUUUAAAUUUGUGGAUUCAACCAAUCAUGGACCCAAGAGAUUUGGGGAAAAAUUGCAUCUUUACUGAAUGUGUACAGACUUUUAAAAUUGUUACUCUCAGCAAUAGAGUAUAACAACUAUUCACGUAGCAUUUACAUUGUAUUAGGUGUUAUAAGUAAUUGGAGAUGAUUUGAAGUGAACAGGAGGAUGUAUAUAAGUUAUUUGCAAAUACUAUGCCAUUUUAUAUCAGAGACAUGAGCAUCCUCAGAUUUUGGUAUCUGAGGGGGGUCCUGGAACCAAUCCCCUACAGAUACCAAGAGACAAGUCUAUUUAGAAGUUACAGGCUGGGCACAGUGGCUCACACCUGUAAUCCCAGCACUUUGGGAGGCCAAGGCAAGAGAAUCACUUGGGGCCAGGAGUUCGAGACCAUCCUGGGCAACAUGGCAAAACCCCAUCUCUACUAAAAAUAGAAAAAUUAGCCAGGUGUAGUGGCAUGUGCCUGUAGUCUCAGCUGCUCGUGAGCCUGAGGUGGGAGGAUCACCUGAGGUCCAGGCUGUAGUAAGCAGUAACCAGGCCACUGCACUCCAACCUGGGUGACAGAGACCCAGUCUUGGGGGGGAGAAAAAGUUUCCAUAUGAUUGUGUAGCUCAGCCAAGGCUCUCAACCUUGGAAGUAUAGAGAAUCACCUGGGAGCUUUUAGAGCUUCCAACGCCCACACUGCAGACCAAAUCACAUCAGAAUGUCUGAGGGCAAAACCCAGGCAGCUGAAUGUUCUAAAGCUCCCAGGUGAUUCCAUGCAUAGCUAGGGUUGAGGGCUUGGCUUUGGGGUCUUUUCUAAUCUGAGAAGGAUCCUAUACUCUGUGGACUGGGGCUAUUGGAACUUCAGUGUGUGUAUGAAUCUCCUACGAGUCUGGUUGAGAAUGCAGAUUCUGAUUCAGUAGGACUGGAACAGGGCUUCUGAGCCUGCAUUUCUAACCAGCUGGUCCGCGGACUACACCAAGAGUUGCACAACUGCAGGCACUAAUGACUCUUUAUUGAUUAUUUAACCCUGACUGAGGAUAAUAACUGUAGUAAGCCAGGACAUUAAACUGCAGGUCCAGGACAGUUAAUGGUAUUUGGCAGAAGUGGCACAGCAGGCUUUGUGAUUAAAAAGAAAACAAAUGUUUGUGUUCCUCCCUGGGUCAGCUAAGGAAUGGUACUGACAAGAGGCAUGCUGGCCACACUCUAAGAGAUGAGUGACUAGAAACCUCCGCCCUUCUGGCUGGGCGCGGUGGCUCAUGCCUGUAAUCCCAGCGCUUUGGGAGGCUGAGGUGGGCGGAUCACAAUGUCAGGAGGUCAAGACCGUCCUGGC